This 211-nucleotide small RNA is filed under the name uncultured Citrobacter sp. RNAcentral describes it as "rncO". It matches the Rfam family "rncO". From Rfam's summary of the family: This family represents a bacterial regulatory element (rncO) found in the rnc leader sequence. The rnc operon is negatively auto-regulated by transcript stability. rnc, the first gene in the operon codes for RNase III which cleaves the long rncO stem II leading to transcript degradation and a reduction in translation. Lineage: Bacteria; Pseudomonadati; Pseudomonadota; Gammaproteobacteria; Enterobacterales; Enterobacteriaceae. The record is from RNAcentral.
AAGUUUCAGGUUGGCGCCUCCUGGUCGCCACGGCACACGAAACAGCGUUGGUCCCCCUAUAUGAGCGAUAUAAGCUGCUUAGCGCGGCCGAUAGAAUGCUACGUAUAUCAGGUCUGUUUCGUGUGCUGAAUUGUUGACGCAUUUAUUUAUUGGUAUCGCAUGAACCCCAUCGUAAUUAAUCGGCUUCAACGGAAGCUGGGCUACACUUUUA